UACGUAGGGAGCAAGCGUUGUCCGGAAUCAUUUGGCGUAAAGAGCGUGUAGGCGGCUCGGGUAGUCUGGUGUGAAAUCUUUCGGCUUAACCGGAAGCGGUCACUGGAUACUCUCGGGCUUGGAUCCGGAAGAGGAGUGUGGAAUUCCUGGUGUAGCGGUGGAAUGCGCAGAUAUCAGGAGGAACACCAAUGGCGAAGGCAGCACUCUGGGACGUGAUCGACGCUGAGACGCGAAAGCGUGGGGAGCGAACAGG
Molecule: ribosomal RNA, 253 nt
Filed under: uncultured bacterium
Lineage: Bacteria
Description: partial 16S ribosomal RNA
Rfam family: Bacterial small subunit ribosomal RNA
Source: RNAcentral